Molecule: ribosomal RNA, 253 nt
Filed under: uncultured bacterium
Lineage: Bacteria
Description: partial 16S ribosomal RNA
Rfam family: Bacterial small subunit ribosomal RNA
Source: RNAcentral
UACGUAGGCAGCAAGCGUUGUUCGGAAUUACUGGGCGUAAAGAGCGUGUAGGCGGCCCGACCAGUCCGCUGUGAAAGUCCAGGGCUCAACCCUGGAAUGCCGGUGGAUACUGUCGGGCUAGAGUCCGGAAUGGGCGAGUGGAAUUCCUGGUGUAGCGGUGAAAUGCGCAGAUAUCAGGAGGAACACCAAUGGCGAAGGCAGCUCGCUGGGACGUGACUGACGCUGAGACGCGAAAGCGUGGGGAGCAAACAGG